Molecule: ribosomal RNA, 118 nt
Filed under: Lepisosteus oculatus (spotted gar)
Lineage: Eukaryota; Metazoa; Chordata; Actinopteri; Semionotiformes; Lepisosteidae
Source: RNAcentral
GUCAGCAGCCAUAUCACCCUGCAACUCACAACUGGCAGCCCACUGAAGCUCAGCAGGUGUGAGCCUGGUCAGUACCUGGAGGGGAGACUCCUGGGAAAAACUAAGGUUGCUGCUGGAA